AUUGAACGCUGGCGGCAUGCUUUACACAUGCAAGUCGAACGGUAACAGGCCGCAAGGUGCUGACGAGUGGCGAACGGGUGAGUAAUGCAUCGGAACGUGCCCAGUCGUGGGGGAUAACGCAGCGAAAGCUGCGCUAAUACCGCAUACGAUCUAUGGAUGAAAGCGGGGGACCGGUAAGGCCUCGCGCGAUUGGAGCGGCCGAUGUCAGAUUAGGUAGUUGGUGGGGUAAAGGGCUCACCAAGCCAACGAUCUGUAGCUGGUCUGAGAGGACGACCAGCCACACUGGGACUGAGACACGGCCCAGACUCCUACGGGAGGCAGCAGU
This 325-nucleotide ribosomal RNA is filed under the name uncultured bacterium. Its description in RNAcentral is "bacterial SSU rRNA". It matches the Rfam family "Bacterial small subunit ribosomal RNA", at positions 30 to 355 of the family's 1533-position model. The record is from RNAcentral.